GACGAACGCUGGCGGCGUGCUUAACACAUGCAAGUCGAACGGAAAGGCCCUGCUUUUGUGGGGUGCUCGAGUGGCGAACGGGUGAGUAACACGUGAGUAACCUGCCCUUGACUUUGGGAUAACUUCAGGAAACUGGGGCUAAUACCGGAUAGGAGCUCCUGCUGCAUGGUGGGGGGUGGAAAGUUUCGGCGGUUGGGGAUGGACCCGCGGCUUAUCAGCUUGUUGGUGGGGUAGUGGCUUACCAAGGCUUUGACGGGUAGCCGGCCUGAGAGGGUGACCGGCCACAUUGGGACUGAGAUACGGCCCAGACUCCUACGGGAGGCAGCAGUGGGGAAUAUUGCACAAUGGGCGGAAGCCUGAUGCAGCAACGCCGCGUGCGGGAUGACGGCCUUCGGGUUGUAAACCGCUUUCGCCUGUGACGAAGCGUGAGUGACGGUAAUGGGUAAAGAAGCACCGGCUAACUACGUG
This 468-nucleotide ribosomal RNA is filed under the name uncultured bacterium. RNAcentral describes it as "partial 16S ribosomal RNA". It matches the Rfam family "Bacterial small subunit ribosomal RNA", at positions 28 to 507 of the family's 1533-position model. The record is from RNAcentral.